Cinara cedri is the source of this 108-nucleotide non-coding RNA. Lineage: Eukaryota; Metazoa; Arthropoda; Insecta; Hemiptera; Aphididae. The record is from the annotation of a GenBank genome assembly.
UGUGUGUGUGUGUUGUGUGUGCGUGUGUGUGUGCGUGCGGGAUAAUAUCCUAUCAUCCGGUUCGCAUACGCACGUACAUACACGCGUACACACGUACACGCGCGCACA